AUUUUGUAGGAUAUACCAUACUACCAUUGUCCAACUGUGAAGAAGUAGGUAGGUAGCCAAUUUUAAAAGUGCAGAUCUUUGAAGACCAGGAUGCGUAAAUGUGAAUUGGAAAGUGGCAACAUAUACCUAGUUCAGACUUCAGACAUUUAGUUAGACAUGAUUUAUGGAAAUUGGAUUCAUUAAUUUUUGGACAUUCAAAACUAUACCAUACUACUAUAGUACUAUUGUCUGAUUGUGAAGAAGUAGGUAGCCAAUUUUAAUAGUGCAGAUCUUAGAAGACCAGGAUGUGUAAAUGUGAAUUGGAAAGCGGCAACAUAUACCUAGUUCAGACUUGAGAAAUUUAGUUAGACAUGAGUUAUGGAAAUUGGAUUCAUUAAUUUUUGGUCAUUCAAAGUAGCUUUAGA
Molecule: long non-coding RNA, 404 nt
Organism: Acyrthosiphon pisum (pea aphid)
Lineage: Eukaryota; Metazoa; Arthropoda; Insecta; Hemiptera; Aphididae
Exons: 2
Source: RefSeq, a predicted model, not a curated record